UGUGUAGGCGGCUCUUUAAGUUUGGUGUGAAAUCUCCCGGCUCAACUGGGAGGGUGCGCCGAAUACUGAAGGGCUAGAGUGCGGGAGAGGAGAGUGGAAUUCCUGGUGUAGCGGUGAAAUGCGUAGAUAUCAGGAGGAACACCGGUGGUGUAGACGGCUCUCUGGACCGUAACUGACGCUGAAACACGAAAGCGUGGGUAGCAAACAGGAUUAGAUACCCUGGUAGUCCACGCCCUAAACGAUGCAUAUUUGGUGUGGGUCAUUCAGUUGAUCCGUGCCGGAGCUAACGCGUUAAAUAUGCCGCCUGGGGAGUACAGUCGCAAGGCUGAA
This 330-nucleotide ribosomal RNA is filed under the name uncultured bacterium. Its description in RNAcentral is "bacterial SSU rRNA". It matches the Rfam family "Bacterial small subunit ribosomal RNA", at positions 568 to 898 of the family's 1533-position model. The record is from RNAcentral.